RNAcentral lists this long non-coding RNA (948 nucleotides) under Mus musculus (house mouse). RNAcentral's name for it is "long non-coding RNA chr13:44243232-44244180". Lineage: Eukaryota; Metazoa; Chordata; Mammalia; Rodentia; Muridae. The record is from RNAcentral.
AAACUCGGAAUGAAUGUGUAUCUGACAUGGGCUGGCCAUGUUAAAGAUUCAUGGUAAACUAGCAAAGCUUUUCACCUCCCUCAAUCAGGUUCAGAGAAGCAAAGCUCUCUUCUGGGCCAAAUACAAGCGUUUAUGAAUGAUUGACUAGUGUGUGCAAAAUCGCAAUCGCAGUGUCCUGAGACUGUUCAACUGCAGGAUCAGCUAACUCCUCCCCUUAACAAGCAGGUUGAGGUUCCUGCCUGUUGUUUGGUACUUGGUACCACUCCAUCAGAACACACACAGCUUCUCUGUAUGUUUGUCUAUGUGUCUGUGUGUCUGUCUUUUCCACAUUCCCUCGCCAGCCCUACUCAGGGCUCCAGAACAAAGUAGUGGAGGCUCUGGCACCCCACCCACAGGCCAGCAGAUAUGAAAGUUGGUGACUGUGCCCAAUGGAGUUUCAUCUAGUUGUAAAAAGCAAAACUGUCAUUUUCAGGGAGAAAAUGUAUAGAACUAGACAACAUUGUGCUAGGAGAACUGAGCCAGACCUAGAAAGGCAGCCACCGCAUGCUCUCUCUAAGACGUGGAACAUGAGGGGCUCUAUGUUGGUUUGUUGGUUUGUUUGUUGUGUUUGAAAGUAGAAGGGGAGCUGUCUGGGAAAUGAGAACAGAGGAGGGAGAGAGAAAAUGUUACCAUUCUGUCUAAACUCCACCCCACAGUUACCUGGCAACAGCCAGGGAGGCCUGGCCCACUACAAAAGGGGCUGCUUGCCCUCUCCUCUCUUUCUUACUCUUGCUUCCUGCUUGCUUCCCUCUUACCCUCUUGGGCUCUUCCCUUCCCCUUUCCCUUCCCCACUCUUUCUACGCGGUCAUGGCCAGCCUCUACUUCUCCACUCUCACUCUCUGCCUUUCUCUGCCUCUACUACCCUCUUAGCUCCCCUCCCUAUGCCCUGAAUAAACUCUGCUCUAUACU